UUCCGGCCCGAUCAGCGGGGACGGUUCAUGUUUACCGGGACUCGCUCCGCCGCAUCACACCGGAGCCCCGAUGGCGCGAGCGCUCCGGCCCCGCUCCGGUGUGACGUCAGAGCGGCUCGUCUCAUUUAACCCUCUGCAGCGCAAGCGCCGUUCAUGUUCAGCUGAGACUUGUCGGUCACUUCCGGUCACUGCCAGGAGAUGGCGCUGCUCGCCGUGUGACCCAUGAUCUUCAGGAGACGUGAAGACACACGUGAGACGUCUUGAUUUAACGUUCAGACGGUGCGGCAGCCCUUAUAACCCAUUCUCCACCUUUAAAGUUGUCCAACUUUCCUCAAGGAGUUUUGAGUGAAAUUAGAUUGAAAUGUAUAAAACAUAGUCACACAUAUUUUGUUUUUCUACUCAUUUAUUUCCUCUCGUGACAGCGAGCGAGAGAUAAAGCGCGGUUUAUCUGUAAAGAGCACAGCAUCUCCUGCUCACACAGGAAACAGGAAGUCAAACCGCAGCGGCUUCACCGAAAAUCAUACAGCAACAACAACAAC
Puntigrus tetrazona (Sumatra barb) is the source of this 539-nucleotide long non-coding RNA. RefSeq lists it as uncharacterized. Lineage: Eukaryota; Metazoa; Chordata; Actinopteri; Cypriniformes; Cyprinidae. The record is from RefSeq and is a predicted model, not a curated record. The transcript has 2 exons.